RNAcentral lists this long non-coding RNA (376 nucleotides) under Malus domestica (apple). Its description in RNAcentral is "long non-coding RNA (MDOM_LNC016957)". The record is from RNAcentral. Lineage: Eukaryota; Viridiplantae; Streptophyta; Magnoliopsida; Rosales; Rosaceae.
UAUGGUAGCUAGACCUUCAAAAUUUAUGUGUCUAAACUUUGUUAGUGUUGUUUCUUUGCUAUUCUUUUACCCUUUUUGGUUAGAGCGAUGUAGUGGGAGCUGCAAGCUUCACGUGUCUCAACUUUGUCAGAGAACUUUGGCAAAGUUAUCUGUAGUACCCAUGAGCUACUGUUACGUGUGGGAAGUGGGUGAUUGAACAGUACAAUUCAUGUGCUUUCUACUUCGCCAGAAAUCUUCGACAGAAUGCCCAUAAUUUCCACAAAGCUGAGUGUGCGUGUGACAGGUGCUGACAAGGCUGGACGAGUGGGUGCCUCUUCGAUUUCUAAGAUCGGCCCUCGUGGUCUCUGAGCAGCCCAGCUUUUGAGAAAGCAAGCCU